This is a long non-coding RNA of Tigriopus californicus, 1749 nucleotides long. RefSeq lists it as uncharacterized. The transcript is spliced from 2 exons. Lineage: Eukaryota; Metazoa; Arthropoda; Copepoda; Harpacticoida; Harpacticidae. The record is from RefSeq and is a predicted model, not a curated record.
CAAUUGAUAAGUAGAAAGGGGGAGCUGUAUUCACAGUUAUCAGCACUCCACAAAGUUUGUUCGAAAUCGGGUCAUGCCUGGCUCUCCUUCUGAUUAAAUAUGGGAAGGGCUAUUUCUAGAAUUUAGGGCAGGGACUAGAAAGCAGAGAAUUAUUCUUCUUGGAAAGGAUCAAUUCCAUUAGGAGGGUUUCAAUUUAUGCUCCUGUUUUUUUUUUCCAAGCAGUCAGAUCUUCUGUUCAAUGUGGAACUUCGACAGCUGAAACUAAUUGAAUUGUGUCUAUCGUGUUUCAGGGGUCCAUCCCUAGGAUUCGCCUUUCACCAAAUCCUAUCCACCCCUUGACGAACGGAAAGAAGGAGGGAUGGAUGGAGAGGGUCACACUCGAGCAGGGAUAAGUUUCCGUCCCGUUGUUCCAAGUUCCAUUCCCCUUCUCGCUCGCAACUCACAAAGCUCUACAUAGUUUGGAGCGCAGACCACCCGUCAGUCGGUGGGUUCUCCUCUUUGGAAUGGAUGGAUGGACGGAUGGUUGGUUGGCUGGUUGGUUGCUAGAUGGUUGAUGGUUCUGGAUCGGAGUCGAACAUGAUCCGAACGUACUCGAAGCCAACUAAGCGUGAAGAACAAAAAUCACCGCUUUUGCAUCUCCCGACACUCCUCACUCCUCAAUACACAUUACACGACAAUCCAUUCACAAAGAUGAACGGCAAAAGCAUUAUCCUCAACAACAUCUGUAGCAGCAGCAACAACAGCAACAACAACAAUGCCAUCACCCAGGAUGAGAACUGGAUGAGACAGAGUGCAUGCAUGCAAGGAAAGAGCAAAUGGGUUUGAAAAGUCAAAGCAAACUCUUAAAUCCCCCUAGGAUUACCCAGGAAACGACGAGUUUGUUUUGUGCCAUGUGCACUACGAAAAGGACAAACGAGGGCGUCGCCCAAUCAGUGACGUGGCCCAAUGGGGAGACACUUGAUGUUGAACAUGGGUCCCAAUCAGUUCGACGAAUGAAAAGUGGUGCCAAAUGUCAAUAACGUAUGAGGGACAUCUCAUCAAAAUUGACCCCAUCGAAAGUAAAAUAAGUCAAUUGCCAGGAUAGGGGGGUUUCUCUCGAAUGUAUUAGGAACCACCAUGGGCAAAGCUCAUCGCAUUCUGCCUACACACUACCAAAUGGCACCUCGGUAGAGGUCGUAUUGCCGGAAAAAAUGCAUUCGUUCCUUAUUUACUUCCAUUUCGAAUGACAUAACUGACAAAGUAAACCAUCGCGUGUCCGGAGAUGACUCACUUGGAAGGCAACGAAAAUUCGGCAUUGAAAAGAAAGCUGGGGCGUGAUUACAAUACAGUACUAUAACGCGUAUGAGAGGAAAAAAAAGGAAGAAUUGAGUCCUGAUUAACAACGUCCUUCUCGACGGCUGAACACUUAAUCUCUCCAUUACAGUUUUUUCCUCCUCACCACCCAAAAAGAAACUAAAUUGUCCUGGACGAGUCUCCUCAACCAUCCGAAACAAAUCAAAAUUGUCAUUACAAACGGAUAUUCGCGGUUAGGAUCUUGAGAACGAAAAACCCCCAAGACCCCUGGCCUCACACUUGCGUGUUCUGCGUUCUUGCAACGGCCACAUUUGGUGUUUUUUUUUAAACAACAUCAUAGUGUAAUUGGGAAGGGGAACUAGGUUGAUGAACAUUGGCAACAUUUGGGCCAACCACCUCACUCUAAUCCCGCUUGGAAUAAAGAAGCGGGAUCUGCAAAUCCCGAACAAAUGAGAA